UCGAUUAGAGUUUGAUCCUGGCUCAGGAUGAACGCUGGCGGCGUGCCUAACACAUGCAAGUCGAACGGUCGCAAGACAGUGGCGCACGGGUGAGGAACACGUAGCUAACCUGCCCUCAAGACCGGGAUAACGGAUCGAAAGGUCUGCUAAUACCGGAUAAGCUCACGUGAAGUAGAAGCAAGUGAGAAAAGGGAUACCGCUUGAGGAGGGGGCUGCGGCCUAUCAGGUAGUUGGUGAGGUAAUGGCUCACCAAGCCGACGACGGGUAGGGGGCCUGAGAGGGUGACCCCCCACACUGGGACUGAGACACGGCCCAGACUCCUACGGGAGGCAGCAGUGAGGGAUAUUGCACAAUGGGCGCAAGCCUGAUGCAGCGACGCCGCGUGAGUGAAGAAGGCCUUCGAGUCGUAAAACUCUUUUGCCGAUGACGAGGAAGGACGGUAGUCGGCGAAUAAGCCUCGGCUAACUACGUGCCAGCAGCCGCGGUAAAACGUAGGAGGCGAGCGUUAUCCGGAGUUACUGGGCGUAAAGCGUGCGCAGGCGGUUCUGUAAGUGGCUUGUGAAAGCGCCCGGCUAAACCGGGCGAGGACAGGUCAGACUGCAGGGCUGGGAUGGAACAGAGGGCUGUGGAAUUCCGGGUGUAGCGGUGAAAUGUGCAGAGAUCCGGAGGAACACCAGAGGUGAAGACGGCGGCCUGGGUUCCAAUCGACGCUGAGGCACGAAAGCGUGGGGAGCGAACGGGAUUAGAGACCCCGGUAGUCCACGCCGUAAACGAUGCAGACUAGAUGUUCGUGCCGGGAAACCGGGAUGAGCGUCGCAGCUAACGCGCUAAGUCUGCCGCCUGGGGAGUACGGUCGCAAGACUAAAACUCAAAGGAAUUGACGGGGGCCCGCACAAGCAGCGGAGCGUGUGGUUUAAUUCGAGGCUACACGAAGAACCUUACCUGGGUUUGACAUCACGGUGGUAGUGAAGCGAAAGCGGAACGACCUACGGGAGCCGUGACAGGUGCUGCAUGGCUGUCGUCAGCUCGUGUCGUGAGAUGUUCGGUUAAGUCCGAAAACGAGCGCAACCCUCGGUGCCAGUUACAGGUGUCUGGCGCGACUGCCUUCGAGAAGGAGGAGGAAGGUGGGGAUGACGUCAAGUCAGCAUGGCCUUUAUAUCCAGGGCUACACACACGCUACAAUGGGCGGCACAAUUGGAAGCGAACCCGCGAGGGGGAGCGGAUCCGUGAAAGCCGUUCGUAGUUCGGAUUGCAGGCUGCAACUCGCCUGCAUGAAGCUGGAGUUGCUAGUAACCGCAGGUCAGCGAUACUGCGGUGAAUACGUUCCCGGGCCUUGUACACACCGCCCGUCACGUCAUGGGAGCUGGUCACGCCUGAAGCCGAUGAGCGAACCGCAAGGAAGCAGUCGUCGAAGGCAGGGCCGGUGACUGGGACGAAGUCGUAACAAGGUAGCUGUAGCGGAAGCUGCGGCUGGAUCACCUCCUUAAUCGA
This 1491-nucleotide ribosomal RNA is filed under the name uncultured bacterium. Its description in RNAcentral is "bacterial SSU rRNA". It matches the Rfam family "Bacterial small subunit ribosomal RNA". The record is from RNAcentral.